CGAAUUUAGUACUGCUGAGCAAAUCUGUACAGAAAUCACUACGUGAAAUACAAAUUUCUUGGUAUUGUAUCUCCUCUACCCCAUUGAGCCAAAUUAUAAGUUGAACCCAGCUAGCACUCUAUGAGAAAGCCACUGAAAAGCAAGUACCAACAACAAAACUCUUGCAGUUAGUGAUUGAGAAUUUCCCACUUUGCACGCUGGUCGCCUCAAUAUAUUUCUCGUCAGGAGCAGCAUUUGCGGAAUCUAGGGAAGUGUUUGCAGCCAUUUUUUGUCUGAUUCUGUAAUCUUAUUUGGUUAACAACACUGGUGCAUGUAAAUUUGUUGAGGCAUGGUCUUUUCUGCUUUCACUUUGCUGACUGUUGUUUUUUCAGGCCUGGUCUUCCUUUCUACCAACCCAUGGAAGAAAGUUCUGUUGCAGUGAAAGGGGAGAAGCAACCUUCCAUGUAAUACGGACAACUGCAGGUGACGACAUUGUCUCCAUGGUAGCCAAGUUGAACAAAUUCACUCCGUUACAUACUUCCUUUCGAUCUUUAGUGCAAGAUCAGGCUGGUCAUGUCUGCUGAUUAUAUUGAUUUGGAUAUGAAGCCGUACGAUAUAAUCUGAAUCAGGGUGGCAAUGAUUAGGGAGGAUGAGGAAUGGUUGCUGCCCAGUGCAUAAAUGGAAGCCAGUGGGCAGCUUCAUCCGAGGGCUCAAAGCAAACAGUAGUUUGAUUCUGAUGGAUGGAAAAACAACAAAAACUCUCGUUUCUUCUGUCACUUUGAAUGGAUAUCUGAGCUCUUGUCAUGUUCCCUCUUCAAAACAGAGACUUGUAUUAACGUGAUGAUUGUAGCACUUCCACUUUCAAUCCCUCUGCCCCGUCGUCAGAUUGAAUGAAUUAAUAACACACAUACUCCGCAGCGGAAUCGGUGGUGAAUUUGUCGAGGCAUGCAGUUUAAUUUCUUACUACUAUUGUAUAAUCGCAACAAUACAAUGAGGAAUCAUAUCGUUGUACCAAAAA
Non-coding RNA from Coffea arabica (coffee), 997 nucleotides. Lineage: Eukaryota; Viridiplantae; Streptophyta; Magnoliopsida; Gentianales; Rubiaceae. The record is from RefSeq and is a predicted model, not a curated record.